This 393-nucleotide ribosomal RNA is filed under the name uncultured bacterium. Its description in RNAcentral is "bacterial SSU rRNA". It matches the Rfam family "Bacterial small subunit ribosomal RNA", at positions 505 to 898 of the family's 1533-position model. The record is from RNAcentral.
GUGUCAGCAGCCGCGGUAAGACGUAGGGGGCCAGCGUUGCUCGGAAUUACUGGGCGUAAAGGGUUCGUAGGCGGUGUGGCAAGUCGGAAGUGAAAUCUCUAGGCUCAACCUAGAGGCUGCUCCCGAAACUGCCAUGCUAGAGUGCGGGAGAGGCGAGUGGAAUUACAGGUGUAGCGGUGAAAUGCGUAGAUAUCUGUAGGAACACCCGUGGCGAAGGCGGCUCGCUGGACCGCAACUGACGCUGAGGAACGAAAGCUAGGGGAGCAAACAGGAUUAGAUACCCUGGUAGUCCUAGCCCUAAACGAUCAGGACUUGGGGUGCAUCCCGUUGGGGGUGCGUCCCGUAGCUAACGCGUUAAGUCCUGCGCCUGGGGAGUACGGUCGCAAGACUGAA